RNAcentral lists this ribosomal RNA (912 nucleotides) under uncultured Legionellales bacterium. Its description in RNAcentral is "bacterial SSU rRNA". It matches the Rfam family "Bacterial small subunit ribosomal RNA", at positions 8 to 916 of the family's 1533-position model. Lineage: Bacteria; Pseudomonadati; Pseudomonadota; Gammaproteobacteria; Legionellales. The record is from RNAcentral.
AGAGUUUGAUCCUGGCUCAGAUUGAACGCUGGCGGCACGCCUAACACAUGCAAGUCGAGCGGUAGCAUGAUUAGUAGCAAUACUAAUUGAUGACGAGCGGCGGACGGGUGAGGAACACGUAGGAAUCUGCCCUUUAGCGGGGGACAACCAAGGGAAACUUUGGCUAAUACCGCGUAAUCUCGAGAGAGGAAAGCUGGCCGCAAGGUUGGCGCUAGAGGAGGAGCCUGCGUCCGAUUAGCUAGUUGGUGAGGUAAGAGCUCACCAAGGCGAUGAUCGGUAACUGGUCUGAGAGGACGACCAGUCACACUGGGACUGAGACACGGCCCAGACUCCUACGGGAGGCAGCAGUGGGGAAUAUUGGACAAUGGGGGCAACCCUGAUCCAGCGAUGCCGCGUGGGUGAAGAAGGCCUUCGGGUUGUAAAGCCCUUUAGGUUGGGAAGAAGGGGGUGUUUAACAAACAUCCUUUGACGGUACCAACAGAAUAAGCACCGGCAAACUCUGUGCCAGCAGCCGCGGUAAUACAGAGGGUGCGAGCGUUAAUCGGAUUUACUGGGCGUAAAGGGCGCGUAGGCGGUUUAGUGAGUGUGGUGUGAAAGCCCCGGGCUUAACCUGGGAAGUGCAUCGCAAACGACUAAACUGGAGUAUAAGAGAGGGUGGCGGAAUUUCCGGUGUAGCGGUGAAAUGCGUAGAGAUCGGAAGGAACGUCAAUGGCGAAGGCAGCCACCUGGCUUAAUACUGACGCUGAGGCGCGAAAGCGUGGGGAUCAAACAGGAUUAGAUACCCUGGUAGUCCACGCUGUAAACGAUGAGGACUAGAUGUUGUUUGGGGAACCAAGCAGUAUCGAAGCUAACGCGAUAAGUCUUCCGCCUGGGAAGUACAGCCGCAAGGCUGAAACUCAAAGGAAUUGACGG